RNAcentral lists this long non-coding RNA (5247 nucleotides) under Marmota monax (woodchuck). Lineage: Eukaryota; Metazoa; Chordata; Mammalia; Rodentia; Sciuridae. The record is from RNAcentral.
GUCACUUCCGCCCCGCCGUGGCCGAAACUGACACAAAGUAGCGGGCCGAGGCCGGGGGGGAGCUGGGCCACAGCUGGGGGGGCGGGCGCCCGCGGGGAGCUGAGCCGAGCGCCCCCCGCCCCAGCCCCGGCCUGGGCAGGAUGGGGCCGCCGGGGCGGGCGCCGGGCGCCGAGCGCUGAGGUGAGGCGAGCCGGGGCGAGCCGGGGCACCCCGAGCGCGGGGCGGAGGGCAGGGGGAGAUGCGGCUGCGGCCGCGACCCGGGGCCGGCGGCGGCGGUGGAGGCCGGGGGGCCGGAGGGGUUUGGGGAGCCGGAGUGUGGAGCCGCGAGGGCGGGCGCCGGGAGUGCGGAGCUGCGGGGAGACCCGCAGGGCGAGCGGCGGGAUGGAGAAAAGGGGUGUCGGCUGCCGAGGGUGGGGAGACCCGAGGCUGUCCGCAGGCUGGGAGGAUGGGGUGCCCAGGUGGCGCGUGGAGAGCAGGGAAGGCGCAGAGUGCCGAGGAAAGGCCGACCCGAGAGGCGAGGGCCGCUGGGGAGUUGGGGUGAGAAGAGUGACCGGGCUUAGGGAAGGGAGUUCGGACUGCUAGGUUUUGUCUCUGGAAGGUGGAGGUCUGUGUGCCUGAGGAAAACCAAGGGUGCCAGAGGGGUGGUAGCUAGCUGUGAGUCCUUUGUUACUGCCCUUGGCGAGGGAAGGUGGCCCAGGGCGGUGGUGAUGCAAGAGAGCUGGGGGUCUUGGAUUCUAGAUCUUCCUGUUUCCCUGACCCACCAGCCUCCUCCAAAAGGAGUCUUGGUUGGAAGGCAGCAGAAGCCAGACCUAGAGGAGGAGCGGUUUUCCCCCUAUGGAGCAUUGCCUCUUUCCUAGGGUUGGCUAUUUUUAUCCCAGAUGUGGCUGCAGAGGGGGCUGGGGCUGGGGCAGGGCGACGGGGCAGGGCGACGUGGCUGAUGGGCCUGACCAGUUCAGACAACCCAGGCUGUGUGAGACUGGGAAGGAGAAGUGAGAAGGGGUCCCUGUUGCCAGCCAUCUCCCUCCCUCUCCCUUCCUAUGACUGCCCCCAGAGGGGAUGGGAUCUGGGGCCAAGUGCGCUUUUUCUCUCCCCAGGGUAUUAGAGGUAAAACAACUUUCCUGAUCCAAGUCCAGACUCCUGACUCCUGGCUGCCCAGCUCCUUCAUUAACUCUUCCAUAGGCUGCAGACCCAGAUCUUUGGACCUGCAGUGUUUCUUGCUCACUCCCUCCCCAGGGUCCUGGCUGGCUACUGAACCUAUGAUGCCCACCAUGCGUCCUCUUCUUUAACCUCUCCCUGCAUACCCCACCCUUCAUGACUCAUACUCUAGACUGGGUGGAGACCCUGGCUGGGGGCCCUAGAAGAGGACUUGGCAUCUCUAAAAUGUGGAUGAAGUUUUUCUUCCUGAGCCAGGCACCCUUGCCUGCUGCAGUUGGGGAGGAUCAGGGAUGAAAAGGACUUCUGCUCUUGGUAUUGCCUGGUCUGGGGUCAGGAAGGGAGUGUGUGCUAGUGAAGGGAGAAUUGGUGGCCAGAGUCUGCAAUUAUAGAGGUUGGGCAGACAGGCAAUUAGUAUCUCUUGGGGCUGACAGGCUGGUGGGUGUGCCCAUAGGCUGCAGGCAGGGGAACCAAAGAGGAGGUGGAAGGCUAACCCUUCCACCCAGACAAAAAAAGAGGAGGUUACUGACUGGCAGCUUUUUUUGGACCAGGCUGGAGAAUAGGGUUGAGGCUCUGUGAGCCUGUCUUGUAGGCCAGGCCUUAUGCCUUUUUAGGAAAAAGAAAGGACACAGGAAGGUGGAAGGAAGCAGAGACUUGUGUGACUGAUGCUCCUUGGCCUGCACUGAGCUUCAGGCUGAUUGGACUAGGCACAGAGUGGGAGAGAGCAGGGGUGACUCUCUGACAGGAUAGGAAGACCCCUCUGCUGGCCCAGAAGGGUGGCUGACCCAGAUUGAGAGGAAGCGGUUUGGGGAUUGUCUGUGCAGGAAGUGAAGGCCAUGCGUCUAAUGUGAACUCAAUGUGGAGGAGGUGAUAAUGGAAACCCCAGUAAUGGGGUGAGCUGGGGGAAUGAUGAGCAUUUUGAGAAGGGUGGAGCCUGCCCACCCUAUUUCCUGAUGCCCUGCCAGGUGCUUCCUGGCUGUGUUCCCUCCACCCCACCCUUUUGGGGAUAUUCUGCUUUCUAGUACAUGAACAACUCAUUGCCACCAGGAAUACAGUCACCACACAUUGUCAUCAGGAAUAUAGGCACACAUUGUCUGUCAGCAGGGGAGCACAUGAAGCAUCUAUGGUACCUUGAAAGCUGUGCUUUUUUUUUUUUGUACCUGUAUUAACCCAGGGGCAUUUAACCACUGAGCCACAUCCCCAGGCCUCGAUCCCCCUUUUUAAGAAAGGGAAUCCAGCAGCUUGUAAUCAUUAUUUUUUUAAAGAAGAUGGACACAAUACCUUUAUUUUACCCAUUUAUUCAUUUUUUAAGUAUGCUGAGGAUUGAAGCCAGUGCCUCACAUAUGCUAGGUAAGCGCUCUACCACUGAGCUACAACCCCAGCCUCCAAGCCCUUUUUAAUAUUUUAUUUAGAGACACGGUCUUGCUGAGUUGCUCAGGGCCUCCCUAAAUUUCUGAGGCUGGCUUUGAACUCCUGAUCAUCCUGCCUCAGCCUCCUGAGCUGCUGGGAUUCCAGGCACGUGCCACUCGCUCGCGUGAAGCUGUGCCCUUCUUACCUGGCCUAUUCUCCUAGACCCCUUUCCCACAGGCCUUGACUUCUGUAAACUCUCAGUUCUUCCCUCCUUCCAUGUUAUCCAAAGCAGAAGGGAUGGCCUCUUUUCUCAGGUACUGGACAGGGCAGAAAGACGAGAGUGUUGGUUGGGAGGGAUGGAGGGGUCAGGAUCAGUGCUGGAGAAGAGAACCUUCAGGAAGGGCCUAAUGAGGGGAAUAAAGGGUUACCCUCAGCUUCCUGACCACACUCAUGUAUCACCUUCCUACAGGGUCUCCCAUGGGAUUGCUGGGACCUUGCUGGGUGAGAUGGCACUGUGUGCAAAAAAGCGACCCCCAGGUAAGAAAGGCAAGAAGUGGGAAUCCCUGGGAAUUUAGACAAGAGUGAGUGUUAUUAUGGCUCAGGGAGUCAGGAGAAGAGGGACAGCUGGCAUGGAUCUGGGAAAGGGGAGAUCAAGAUCCCUACGCAUCCCGGGAAGAGCCUAGGAAACACAAUUUUUUCGUUUGAUGCUUGAGCUGGGUUCUCUGCUGGGAUAGUGCUGAGUACCAGCCCCCACCCCACCCCCGCCCCGAAACACCUGCUCUCUUUUCUUGGGGCACCUGCAGCUGCUACUUUCUGGCCUGGGAAGCCCCUGUCUCUUCCCCCACAGGGUCCUCUUCCUUUUCCUUCGGGUAGGGAGGGAAUGAAACGGUUGCCCCCAACAACCGCGGCAGCCCGCUCACCAACAUCGGCCCUGGACGGGUGCGGGGCGCGGAGAGCGGAGGCGGGGUGCGCUCGGGCUGGCUGUCGCCUACGCGGCGAGCUGGCAGGCUGCUGCCCCUGCAGUCGGGGAGCGGGAGGGGGCGGGGAGCGGGAGGGGGCGGAGCCCGGGGCGUGCGCACCGCAUCCGGGGCCACUCAGCGCAUGCAGUCCUUUGCUGGGGGCUUCGGGGGCGGCGCAGCUGAGCUCACGGAGUUCCCGGGCGGUGCGCCGGUGCCCGUGAGGAUGGCCUGGGUUGCGGGUGGCAUGCUCGCCGGUGGGCCCGGGCUCACUUGUAAGCGGCAGCGGCACUUGCGCCUCCCUGGGGGGCCGCCCCGUAGGCGCCGCUGAGGCCAAGAACUGACAGUACGCUCUCCCCACUCAAACCCGGAUCAUGACGGUCCCCAAGGAGAUGCCCGAGAAGUGGGCCCGGGCCGGGGCACCACCCUCUUGGAGCCGAAAGAAGCCUUCUUGGGGGACAGGUAACGGGAGGCAGCAUCUUGCAGCUCUCCCGAGCCCAUAAUUUCCUCCUCUCCAAUCCCUAUAUUCCCUUGUCCUGUGCCUCCCCAGUCUUCCCCCAUCCUCUUUCUAGACCCAGAGAUCCUGGCUCUAAAGUGUCGAGUCCCUACCUCCUUCCUUUGCAUGGCCUCUGGUGAUUGCGUAGGGUCUCAGCACGAGGAGGCUUCUCUAGGGGAAGUUUUUGGGAAUAAAGUGGCUCAGUAGGCUGGCGACACUGUGGCCUGAGAUUUUGUUACUGCAGUGUGCUCUGCAAGGGUCUUGGGGGAAGGGGCCUGGAACACUGCCUUUGGCUUUCUUGCAGGUUUAAGACAUUAGGUUUAUAGUCUGGUCAAAUCCCCCCUCCCCUUACAGCAUGAGAUCAAAGUGACCCCUGGAAUGUGGGGAACCCUUCAUAGGACAUUCCCUUGUUCUGGAACCUGAACUUGGUGGUUGCAGUUGGGAACCUGCAAGGGGUAGCUAAAUAGAUGUCACUGAGUGAGCAGUUUAAGGGAAACAUGUAGAUGGUACAGAAAAGGUUACAGUUAGAAAGCAACUGUUUCCAUUACAUCUCAUUCCUCUCUCUUGCAUCUCUGCUUCAGUCUGCAUGACCCAUAUCCCUGACUCCCCCACCUUCUUCUACUUGAAGAUGAGCUUUGAAAUAAGGUGAUGUCAUUGUUGGCCAGUCAGAAGCUGCUGCUGGUGACAUGUGACAACCAGAGGCUCCUGUAGGGGGACUGCACGUGGGGCUGGGAUGUUGCCGCAGAGCAGCUCCAGGGCAGCAGAGCAGCUCCAGGGCACAGUGACCCUCUGUCUUGCCACUCCCCACUUCCACCCCAUUAGUCCCCAGUGUAGGGGGAGAGCAGCAGUCCCAUGGUUAGAUCUGCAGUAGUUUCUAGGGGGAAGGAUGCUUUCUUUGUGUCUUCAGCUGCUACUCCUUGAUUAUGAUGAUAGCAGCCAAAGGGUCUGGGGACUCCAUGACCAUCAAUGGCUAAGGCUCUUCCAGAAGGGGAGGACAGAAGAACUGAGUGCUCCCAGUAGAAGAUUAUUGGUGGUGAGGAAGAGAACCUAUCCUGUCCUUUGAAUGUAACUUGCAGAACCAUGUGGUUAUGCUGUUGGUGCAAGCUGGACUAGAGGGAAGAAUUUAAUGACACCUCAGGUGUGGAGCUAAUGCCAUAAAACUAUUUGGUGAAAAGAAACAGGGACCUUUGGUGGAAUGUCCAUAAAGUAGGAUGGACCUGACAAGGUGGGGGUGCAGGCCUCAGUUUGCUGUUCCUAACUGUAGCAUCAUUCUGUUGUAGAAGAAGAAAGGAG